CCCUUAGAUGUUCUGGGCCGCACGCGCGCUACACUGACUACUUCAACGAGUUGUUUCCUUGAUCGAAAGGUCUGGGUAAUCUUUGAAAGGUAGUCGUGAUGGGGAUAGAUCCUUGCAAUUUUUGAUCUUCAACGAGGAAUUCCUAGUAAACACAAGUCAUCAGCUUGCAUUGAUUACGUCCCUGCCCUUUGUACACACCGCCCGUCGCACCUACCGAUUGAAUGGUCCGGUGAAUCUUUAGGACUGUGGCUGAGGCCUUGCCUUGUGCGGGUCUGGCCGUGGGAAUUUAGUUAAACCUUACCAUUUAGAGGAAGGUGAAGUCGUAACA
Molecule: ribosomal RNA, 328 nt
Filed under: uncultured eukaryote
Lineage: Eukaryota
Description: partial 18S ribosomal RNA
Rfam family: Eukaryotic small subunit ribosomal RNA
Source: RNAcentral